CUGGUAUCAGAUAGGUGUAAUUUUUGUGUUUGUAUAGUACACGUUUCUGGAACCAAGCC
RNAcentral lists this microRNA precursor (59 nucleotides) under Drosophila sechellia. RNAcentral describes it as "microRNA dse-mir-992 precursor". Its record names the gene dse-mir-992. Lineage: Eukaryota; Metazoa; Arthropoda; Insecta; Diptera; Drosophilidae. The record is from miRBase by way of RNAcentral.